UACAGAGACUGCAAGCGUUAUUCGGAUUCACUGGGCGUAAAGGGUGCGCAGGCGGCCGUGUGUGUCAGGUGUGAAAGCCCGGGGCUUAACCCCGGAAUUGCGCCUGAAACUACAUGGCUAGAGCAUUGGAGAGGGUAGCGGAAUUCACGGUGUAGCAGUGAAAUGCGUAGAUAUCGUGAGGAACACCAGAGGCGAAGGCGGCUACCUGGACAAUUGCUGACGCUCAGGCACGAAAGCGUGGGGAGCGAAAGGG
RNAcentral lists this ribosomal RNA (253 nucleotides) under uncultured bacterium. Its description in RNAcentral is "partial 16S ribosomal RNA". It matches the Rfam family "Bacterial small subunit ribosomal RNA", at positions 524 to 776 of the family's 1533-position model. The record is from RNAcentral.